AGUCGAACGAAGUAGCAAUACUUAGUGGCAGACGGGUGAGUAACAUGUAGGUAUCUACCCUAUGGCCUGGAAUAACACGAGGAAACUUGUGCUAAUACCGGAUAAGUCUUUACGGAGAAAGCUUUAUGCACCAUUGGAUGAGCCUGCACUUGAUUAGUUUGUUGGUAGGGUAAUGGCCUACCAAGACUGUGAUCAAUAGCUGAUUUGAGAGGAUGAUCAGCCACAUUGGGACUGAGACACGGCCCAAACUCCUACGGGAGGCAGCAGUGGGGAAUCUUGCACAAUGGAGGAAACUCUGAUGCAGCGAUGCCGCGUGAGUGAAGAAGGCCUUUGGGUUGUAAAGCUCUUUCGUCGGGGAAGAAAAUGACUGUACCCGAAUAAGAAGGUCCGGCUAACUUCGUGCCAGCAGCCGCGGUAAUACGAAGGGACCUAGCGUAGUUCGGAAUUACUGGGCUUAAAGAGUUCGUAGGUUGUUGAAAUAGUUGGUGGUGAAAUCCCAGAGCUUAACUCUGGAACUGCCAUCAAAACUUUUCAGCUAGAGUUUGAUAGAGGAAAGCAGAAUUUCUAGUGUAGAGGUGAAAUUCGUAGAUAUUAGAAAGAAUACCAAUUGCGAAGGCAGCUUUCUGGAUCAUUACUGACACUGAGGAACGAAAGCAUGGGUAGCGAAGAGGAUUAGAUACCCUCGUAGUCCAUGCCGUAAACGAUGUGUGUUAGACGUUGGAAAUUUAUUUUCAGUGUCGCAGCGAAAGCGAUAAACACACCGCCUGGGGAGUACGACCGCAAGGUUAAAACUCAAAUGAAUUGACGGGGACCCGCACAAGUAGUGGAGCAUGUGGUUUAAUUCGAAGAUACGCGCAGAACCUUACCAACACUUGACAU
RNAcentral lists this ribosomal RNA (879 nucleotides) under marine metagenome. RNAcentral's name for it is "bacterial SSU rRNA". It matches the Rfam family "Bacterial small subunit ribosomal RNA", at positions 60 to 987 of the family's 1533-position model. The record is from RNAcentral.